This 3327-nucleotide long non-coding RNA is filed under the name Brachypodium distachyon (stiff brome). RNAcentral describes it as "long non-coding RNA (BDIS_LNC004271)". The record is from RNAcentral. Lineage: Eukaryota; Viridiplantae; Streptophyta; Magnoliopsida; Poales; Poaceae.
CAAGAACUUCAUGACCCUGCCCAACAUCAAGGUCCCUCUGAUUCUGGGCAUCUGGGGUGGCAAGGGGCAGGGGAAAUCGUUCCAAUGUGAGCUUGUGUUUGCAAAGAUGGGGAUCAACCCGAUCAUGAUGAGUGCUGGGGAGCUCGAGAGCGGCAAUGCCGGUGAGCCGGCGAAGCUGAUCCGGCAGCGGUACCGGGAGGCGGCGGACAUUAUCAAGAAGGGCAAGAUGUGCUGUCUAUUCAUCAAUGAUCUCGAUGCCGGGGCCGGGAGGAUGGGUGGAACCACGCAGUACACGGUGAACAACCAGAUGGUGAACGCUACGCUGAUGAACAUCGCUGACGCGCCGACCAAUGUGCAACUUCCAGGGAUGUACAACAAGGAGGAGAACCCCCGGGUGCCGAUCAUAGUCACCGGCAACGACUUCUCCACCCUCUACGCGCCGCUCAUCCGAGACGGGCGCAUGGAGAAGUUCUACUGGGCGCCGACCCGCGAGGACCGCAUUGGCGUGUGCAAGGGCAUUUUCCGCACCGAUGGCGUCCCCGACGAGGCGGUGGUUAGGCUCGUCGACAUGUUCCCGGGGCAGAGCAUCGACUUCUUCGGCGCGCUGCGUGCCAGGGUUUACGAUGACGAGGUGCGGAAAUGGGUCGGGGAAAUCGGUGUGGAGAACAUUUCCAAGAGGCUGGUGAACUCGAAGGAGGGCCCGCCCAAGUUCGAGCAGCCGAAGAUGACAAUCAGUAAGCUCAUGGAGUAUGGGCACAUGCUUGUCCAGGAGCAGGAGAACGUGAAGAGGGUGCAGCUUGCAGACAAGUACCUCAGUGAGGCUGCACUGGGUGAAGCCAACGACGACGCCAUGAAGACCGGGUCCUUCUACGCCAAGGCCACUUGAUUCUAGUAAUUAAGAAUGCCGUCACUAUAUAUGCAUGUUUGGAAAAUUCCGUACCUUUUUUGAUUCAUCGCCGCACAGGUAAACGAUUUGAAUUGUAAGUUUCUGAAUACAAAGAAAUGGAAUUGUAUAUGUGAAUUACUUGUUGGAACAUUAUCAUAUAUCUGGAAAUCCUCUGAGGCUUUCUUGAUUAGGUACCGUGGGGGUCAUAUAAUUGGACAGAGAUUGUGAUGCAAACGGCUGGAUUAUUGUUUCAAGAAGAAAGAUCAAUGGUCUAUACUAAACCCAAAAAUCAAUUAAUGAGACUUCCAGGGAAAUUGAUCUUGGCAGCUCAUACAUCAAAGCAUUGCAGAAAUGACAUGCUUAGCUGUUUUUUCUCAAAAAAGUACAGACAUGGCUACCUUAAUUUUAUCUUUUCCAUACUGAUGUUUUACCAAAGAUGCAAUGUAUGGAUGUCAUGCAAGUUCUUUUAUUUUUGCGGUAAUAAUGCGAAGUAUGAAGCACAAACGUACAACACCCAUGUGCCUUGAUGUCAACAGGGGCCGACUUAACUUGUGUGGUACCAAUUGACAGCCCUAGCUUGAUGGUUAUCAACAAACCAGCAAAUAUAAGCCAGCAACAUAUUUUGUGGUACUCGAACUAGGAUCCAAUCUCGGGUGCCUCAUCCAACAAGCAACAUAAGAGUUCAUUUUUGUGUGGUUAUGGAAUAGAAGACCCCAGCUUUCGGCUAGCUGAUGAUCAACAAGACACACUAUCUAUACACCGUGAGUCCGGGUGAAAAGAAACAAAAAUGAAAGGCAAGGAAAGAAGAAAGGAUUCUGAUCAGAGAAUGGCUAGAUCCUGUGGCUGUGGAAUGUUAUAGGAUUCGAGCCAGGAGAUAUCAUAUAGCUGAGCUGCAAGCUGCAGCGUUUGGUCUUCACAGUCCAAGUCAUCCAAACCAGCGGGGGCCAAGAUGCACCCGGCCAGAACCCAAUCUCCAGUGUGUGGCCUGUGGGGGAUCAAGAAGCUGAUCCACAAGCACGGGUGUGUGUGUGCCACCUCCCAGCAGCCUCCCACAGCAACAAGAUGGAUAUCCACGUGUAUUUAAGGCAUCUCAUACCUCUGCCUCUAUACUUUGAGCAGCAGCAGCCAUUACUUGAUCAUCUGAAAAAUCUUAAUCCAGAUCAGACCAAGCAGAGCAGAGAUGUCUGCUACCUUCUCGUCCACCGUCGGAGCUCCGGUGCGUACCACACAUCGAUUCAUCGGUCCACAGCUAUCUUUUCUUAAUGGUAUCAUGUCUUCAAUGGCGUCUUGUGUUGUGUCUACAGGCUUCUACGCCAACCAGCUUCCUUGGGAAGAAGCUCAAGAAGCAGGUGACCUCGGCCGUGAACUACCAUGGCAAGAGCACCAAGGCCAACAGAUUCACAGUCAUGGCCAAGGAGGUGGACGAGUCAAAGCAGACUGACCAGGACAGGUGGAAGGGCCUCGCCUACGAUAUCUCCGACGACCAGCAGGACAUCACCAGGGGGAAGGGUAUCGUCGACUCGCUCUUCCAGGCGCCCAUGGGCGACGGUACCCACGUGGCCGUCCUCAGCUCCCAAGAGUACAUCAGCCAGGGCCUAAGGAAGUACGACUUCGACAACACCAUGGGAGGCUUCUACAUCGCCCCAGCCUUCAUGGACAAGCUCGUCGUCCACCUCUCCAAGAACUUCAUGACCCUGCCCAACAUCAAGGUACGCAGCCAGCACAUGAUCAAUUCAUGACUAUUUAAUUUAAUUUAUUAGCAGUAAUACAAUUGAACAAAGCUGUUUGUGAAGCUUUACUGUAAUUUGGGUGCUAACGAAUCGAAAAUUCAGGUGCCACUCAUCUUGGGUAUCUGGGGAGGCAAGGGUCAAGGAAAAUCCUUCCAAUGUGAGCUUGUCUUCGCCAAGAUGGGCAUCAAGUAAGAACUGUUUGAAGUUACUUUCAUCUAUUGUUAAUUGCCAGCAACACAAAUAUCAUGUCUGCACCCGAAUUAAGCAAGUAGUAACAGAUGAUGAUGUGUGCUUGCUACAGCCCAAUCAUGAUGAGUGCCGGAGAGCUGGAGAGCGGAAACGCCGGAGAGCCAGCCAAGCUGAUCAGGCAGCGGUACCGUGAGGCCGCAGACUUGAUCAAGAAGGGUAAGAUGUGCUGCCUCUUCAUCAACGAUCUCGACGCUGGUGCGGGUCGGAUGGGCGGGACCACCCAGUACACUGUCAACAACCAGAUGGUUAACGCCACCCUGAUGAACAUCGCGGAUGCCCCCACCAACGUGCAGCUCCCUGGGAUGUACAACAAGGAGGAAAACCCCCGUGUGCCCAUCAUCGUCACUGGUAACGAUUUCUCCACGCUCUACGCGCCACUCAUCCGUGACGGUCGUAUGGAGAAGUUCUACUGGGCCCCCACCCGCGAAGACCGUAUCGGUGUAUGCAGGGGUAUCUUCCAAA